Molecule: ribosomal RNA, 299 nt
Filed under: uncultured bacterium
Lineage: Bacteria
Description: partial 16S ribosomal RNA
Rfam family: Bacterial small subunit ribosomal RNA
Source: RNAcentral
CUAUGCGCCUUGCCAGCCCGCUCAGGUGUGCCAGCAGCCGCGGUAAUACGUAGGGGGCAAGCGUUAUCCGGAUUUACUGGGUGUAAAGGGAGCGUAGACGGCAGUGCAAGUCUGGAGUGAAAGCCCGGGGCCCAACCCCGGGACUGCACUGGAAACUGCCGUGCUGGAGUGUCGGAGGGGUAAGCGGAAUUCCUGGUGUAGCGGUGAAAUGCGUAGAUAUCAGGAGGAACACCGGUGGCGAAGGCGGCUUACUGGACGAUGACUGACGCUGAGGCUCGAAAGCGUGGGGAGCAAACAGG